GGGAUAACUACUGAAACGGUAGCUAAUACCGCAUAACGUCGCAAGACCAAAGAGGGGGACCUUCGGGCCUCUUGCCAUCAGAUGUGCCCAGAUGGGAUUAGCUAGUAGGUGGGGUAACGGCUCACCUAGGCGACGAUCCCUAGCUGGUCUGAGAGGAUGACCAGCCACACUGGAACUGAGACACGGUCCAG
This 191-nucleotide ribosomal RNA is filed under the name uncultured Enterobacterales bacterium. Its description in RNAcentral is "partial 16S ribosomal RNA". It matches the Rfam family "Bacterial small subunit ribosomal RNA", at positions 140 to 334 of the family's 1533-position model. Lineage: Bacteria; Pseudomonadati; Pseudomonadota; Gammaproteobacteria; Enterobacterales. The record is from RNAcentral.